RNAcentral lists this RNase P RNA (450 nucleotides) under Anaerolineales bacterium. Its description in RNAcentral is "RNase P RNA component class A". It matches the Rfam family "Bacterial RNase P class A". From Rfam's summary of the family: Ribonuclease P (RNase P) is a ubiquitous endoribonuclease, found in archaea, bacteria and eukarya as well as chloroplasts and mitochondria. Its best characterised activity is the generation of mature 5'-ends of tRNAs by cleaving the 5'-leader elements of precursor-tRNAs. Lineage: Bacteria; Bacillati; Chloroflexota; Anaerolineae; Anaerolineales. The record is from RNAcentral.
CAGGCUGGUCGGGCAGUCGCGGUCCUGCGUUGUCGGGAUCGAGGAAAGUCCGCACUCCAUAGAGCACGGCGUCGGAUAGCACCCGGGGCGGGGAAGUCGCCGAGAGGCGUCAACCUGCCGGAAAAGGGCCACAGAAACAAACAGCCUCCCCCUCCGCCCUUCGAGGGCAGGUGGGGGCGGUCAUGGUGAAAAGGUGGUGUAAGAGACCACCGGCGCGCGCAGUAAUGCGUGUGGCCAGGUAACCCCCGCCGGGAGCAAGGCCAAGCAGGGACGAAAUCGUCUGUGGACGAUGGGAGACAGCUCGUCUUCGCAUGUGCCUUUCCCUCUUGUGGGAGAGGCCAGUCCCGGGUAGGCUGCACCGAGCGAUGUGGCGACACGUCGCCCAGAGAGAUGACUGCCCAAGCGGAGCUUUCCGCUGGACAGAAUGCGGCUUAUAGACCAGCCUGAGGC